UGUGAGAGCACGACCCCCCACAAUGGGACUGAGAGACGGCCCAUACUCCUACGGGAGGCAGCAGCAGGGAAUAUUGCACAAUGGACGGAAGUCUGAUGCAGCGACGCCGCGUGGAUGAUGAAGGCCUUCGGGUUGUAAAAUCCUUUUCGGGGGGAAGAGAAAGGACGGUACCCCCGGAAUAAGCGUCGGCUAACUACGUGCCAGCAGCCACGGUAAUACGUAGGACGCGAGCGUUAUCCGGAUUUACUGGGCGUAAAGCGUCUGUAGGCGGUUGAGUAAGUUGGACGUGAAAGCUCCGGGCUUAACCCGGAGAGGCCGUUCAAUACUGCUUGACUGGAGGGCGUGAGAGGGGAGCGGAAUUCCCGGUGUAGCGGUAAAAUGCGCAGAUAUCGGGAGGAACACCAGUGGCGUAGGCGGCUCCCUGGUACGUACCUGACGCUGAGAGACGAAAGCUAGGGGAGCGAACAGGAUUAGAGACCCUGGUAGUCCUAGCCCUAAACGCUGGAUGCUAGGUGUGGGGCCGAAUAGGCUCUGUGCCGCAGCUAACGCGAUAAGCAUCCCGCCUGGGGAGUACGGCCGCAAGGCUAAAACUCAAACGAAUUGACGGGGCUCCGCACAAGCAGCGGAGCGUGUGGUUUAAUUCGAUUUACACGAAGAACCUUACCUGGGUUUGACAUGGAGGCGGUAGGGAAGCGAAAGCAGACCGACUCUUCGGAGAGCCUUCACAGGUGCUGCAUGGCUGUCGUCAGCUCGUGCCGUGAGGUGUCGGGUUAAGUCCCGUAACGAGCGCAACCCUUGCCCUUAGAUACAAGUGUCUAGGGGGACUGCCGGCGGAAGGCCGGAGGAAGGUGGGGAUGAUGUCAAGUCAGCAUGGCCCUUAUGUCCAGGGCUACACACACGCUACAAUGGACGGUACAAAGGGCAGCUAAGCCGCGAGGUGGAGCGAAUCCCAACAAAGCCGUCCGUAGUACGGAUAGCAGGCUGCAACUCGCCUGCUUGAAGCUGGAGUUGCUAGUAACCGCGCGUCAGCGAUAGUGCGGUGAAUACGUUCCCGGGGCUUGUACACACCGCCCGUCACGUCAUGGGAGUCGGUAACGCCUGAAGCCGGUAGCCUAACGCGCAAGCGAGGGCGCUGUCGAAGGCGGGGCUGGCGACUGGGACGAAGUCGUAACAAGGUAGCGGUACCGGAAGGUGCGGCUG
RNAcentral lists this ribosomal RNA (1200 nucleotides) under metagenome. RNAcentral describes it as "bacterial SSU rRNA". It matches the Rfam family "Bacterial small subunit ribosomal RNA", at positions 291 to 1520 of the family's 1533-position model. The record is from RNAcentral.